RNAcentral lists this ribosomal RNA (275 nucleotides) under uncultured bacterium. RNAcentral's name for it is "partial 16S ribosomal RNA". It matches the Rfam family "Bacterial small subunit ribosomal RNA", at positions 523 to 796 of the family's 1533-position model. The record is from RNAcentral.
ACACGUAGGGCGCAAGCGUUGUCCGGAUUUAUUGGGCGUAAAGAGCUCGUAGGCGGUUUCGUAAGUCGGGUGUGAAAACUCAGGGCUCAACCCUGAGACGCCACUCGAUACUGCGAUGACUUGAGUCCGGUAGAGGAGUAGGGAAUUCCUGGUGUAGCGGUGAAAUGCGCAGAUAUCAGGAGGAACACCAGUAGCGAAGGCGCUACUCUGGGCCGGUACUGACGCUGAGGAGCGAAAGCAUGGGGAGCAAACAGGAUUAGAUACCCUAGUAGUCC